Molecule: ribosomal RNA, 269 nt
Filed under: uncultured bacterium
Lineage: Bacteria
Description: partial 16S ribosomal RNA
Rfam family: Bacterial small subunit ribosomal RNA
Source: RNAcentral
CUGCCGGCGACCGGCGCACGGGUGAGUAACACGUAUGGAACCUGCCCGCAGCAGGGGGAUAAGCGGAAGAAAUUCCGUCUAAUACCGCGUAACAACGUUGGGAGGCAUCUCCCGAUGUUUAAAGAUUUAUCGGCUGCGGAUGGCCAUGCGGCGCAUUAGCUAGUCGGCGGGGUAACGGCCCACCGAGGCGACGAUGCGUAGGGGUUCUGAGAGGAAGGUCCCCUACACUGGUACUGAGACACGGACCAGACUCCUACGGGAGGCAGCAG